Molecule: non-coding RNA, 390 nt
Organism: Labrus bergylta (ballan wrasse)
Lineage: Eukaryota; Metazoa; Chordata; Actinopteri; Labriformes; Labridae
Source: the annotation of a RefSeq genome assembly
UCAUCAUCAGGCUGUGAGUCAGAGAAGAAGAGAAGCUCCAUCAUGUCAGGUUCAACACCAACCAUGUUGCCUGUAGCUCUGCUGCUGCUGCUGGCUGCUGGAUCCUGUGUGAAGUGUGAACAGUUGACACAGCCAGCCUCUGUGACUGUGCAGCCAGGUCAGAGUCUGACCAUCACCUGUCAGGUCUCGUAUUCUGUUAGCAGACAGCCUGCAGGGAAAGGACUGGAGUGGAUUGGAAUGAGAGUUGGAUCUACCACACACUACAAAGAUUCACUGAGGAACCAGUUCAGUAUCGACUUAGACGCCUCCGGAAAUACAACGACUCUAAACGGACAGAAUAUGCAGCCUGCAGACACUGCAGUGUAUUACUGUGCCAGAGACCAAGAGUGA